GCUCCCUCCCAUCUGUUCUGGCCCUAACCUCUAAAGUGCAAAGGUCACUGUGACUCUUGGCACCCAGAGCCCGAGUAGUUUCAGUAACGUGGCCCAGGAACUCAACUGAGGCACAGCACAAAGCAAGUGUGAAAACACAUGCACUAGAAGGAUUCAAGGAAGAUGACGCCCAGUCCCUGCUCUGCCGUGAACCCGUUGUGUGACCUUGAGCAGAUAACCACGCUCUCUCUGGGUUAACUAGGAAUACAUAUCUGAGAUUCCUUCUGCAUGAAUGUUCUCUAGCAGAUGCUCAACUCCAUGUGUUUUCUUAGACUCUGAACUUCUAGACGGGCUAGAGGUUACCCAGCGAGAAUGAAAGUUUGCUGAGUGUAGAAAAUUCAGCAAACAUGUCUUGCCUCUCUCAUCAGGGAUUUCAUAAGCAACAACUGGAACAUUUCACCCAGUUUCCAACUUAAUCGCAUGACAUUUAUUGAAGACUUAUUACGUGUUAAGCAAUCGGGUUAAUAUUUUGGAACAACCGUGGUGAAUAGUAGUAACAGCAAUAUGCUGAACACUAUUAUAUAUAUCGUAUCCUUUAACUCUCAGUUCUGGUGAGGUAGGUAUUAUCAUUCCCCGUUUAUAUAGAAGAAAACAGGUUCUGAUGGAUUAAGAAACCUGGCCCAGGGCACAUCGCAAGUAAACAGCAGAGCCAAGAUAAAAACCCAUGGUGGUCUGGUUUCAGAACCCAAGGACUUUACUAAGAUUUACUGACUCACCUGGAAAUAAUUAUAAGUGGCUUAGAAAGAAUGAAUAAUUACAUGAGCUGAUACAACAAAUCUGCUACUGGUCUCAGCAGCGCUCUCUCUCUUUUCUUCACCAGGUUUACCUUUCAACCAAACUAGAACUUCCCACCAGCAGCCCCUCCCUUGGCUGCUGACCUGAUUCCUGCUUCGCCACCUCCUGAGGAUGGAUGGACGGCUGACCCACCUAGCAGGCCAGUUUACCUAAUUCCUUAAGCUAUUCUUUCUCUGUAUGGAAAUGGUCAUGAGUGGCUUUUCACAGGAAGGGAAAGGGACCCCCUUCACAGUAUUGCCCAGAAUGUGGACAGCACAUCCUACUGAGCUAAAGAAACCUUGCUAAGAGUCCUUGGUGAUAUUUGUGUUGUGGUUGUUACUUACACUCAAGGGCUGGAGUUCCCAGUGUGGCUCAGCAGGUUAUAAAUCUGACUUGUAAGGACAAGGGUUCGGUCCCUGGCCUUGCUCAGUGGGUUGGGAUCUGGCAUUGCCGUGAGCUGUGGUGUAGGUUACGGAUGCGGCUCAGAUCUGGUGUUGUUGUGGCUGCGGUGUUGGCCAGCAGCUGUAGCUCCAAUUCAACCCCUAGCCUGGGAACCUCCAUAUGCUGCUAGUGCAGCCCUAAAAAACAAAAAUGAAUGAAAAACCCCCUCAAGGGAGGCUGAGCUGCUUGACCAGACAAGGGGAUUGAUGACAAUUUAACUUAGUCGCCACUUUGGGUGGCUCUGCAGGCCCACUGGUCCUUGCAGAGAUCUUGGAAGCCAGUAGUGUACUUUCUGGGGUCAAGAGGCAGGAGCGGGAGAUGACAGGUUUGGUUUAGCUUUGUGGGUUUACAGACUGCUGAUCUGAGCACCCCAAGCAACAUUCUGCUCACAGACGUGGAGCAAAGGAAAGAAGUUUCAUUGCUGGGAGCCUGUGACCGUCACAGAUAACACAUUGGAUUUUAACACAGACUCAGAGAAUGCAAAGCAACCCUUGAGGGAAAAUAGUAGGAUCGAAUCCAGGGGAGAGACAUAUGGGCAGAUCUUGCACACUGCUGGAAGAGAAGAGCAAUCUGGAUGUGUGGGCCCCGAGAGGGUCCCCAGGAAUGAGGCAGUAAGGAGGUCUAUUGAGAUUUUACACCUGUUUGUGGGUUCUAGAAUUACCACUGCUCGGCCAGCUUCCAUGGUGUAGAUGAGGAGGAAGCUGAGACCCAGGGAGGGGAGGGGACUUGCCCAAGGUCACAUAGCAGGAGGGGGACUGGAACCCAGCCUUCCUGGCUACUGUCCCAAGGCCCUUGUCCUCUGCCUCCCUCCAUCUCUGUGAUGGACAAGGGCUCACCUUUUGGCCCUGAAAACUGGUUUCACUGUUUCUCAUUGUUUGAAACUGCCGUGAUGUCUUAGUGGCUGCCAGCAUUGUAUGCUGUUGAUUCAGCCUGAGUGGUAGUGACAGCUUGUUAUCUGUAAGUUAUUUCUUAUACAUGGUAGAGAUAAAGGGCCUAGGAGGGUUUGGCCUGAAGACGACUACAGAAUGAUGUUACGCUGAUGAGCAGAUAUCCAAAAAGUUGUGUGAGAGAAGUCCUUAGACUCACUCCUUAUUGCUAGAGAAUGCUCGUCCUCAAAGUGUGGUCUGGGGACCAGCAGCAUCAGUGUCACCUGUGAACUUGUUAAAAAUGGAAAGUCUUGGGUGUUCCCAUCGUGGCUCAGUGGUAACGAACCCAACCUGUAUCCAUGAAGACUCAGGUUUGAUCCCUGGCCUCACUCACCGGGUAAGGGUCUGGCGUUGUUAUAAGCUGUGGUGCAGGUUGCAGAUGCAGCUUGGAUCCUGCAUUGCUGUGGCUGUGAUGGAAGCCGGCAGCUACAGCUCUGAUUCAACCCCUAGCUUAGGAACCUCCAUAUACCGUGGGUGGGGCCCUAAAAAGCAAAAACAAAAACAAAAACAAAGCAGGCCAGGAAACACAAUCAUUUCCCCUUUCUAGAAUAUAAGCUCCGCAAAGCCAAGCAUUUUUAUUUUUUUAUUUUUUUUUCCCCCACUACUGUAACUCCAGUACCUCGAGCAGCGGCAGAGUUCAUGGCCACAGGCUGCUCUGGUACACAAAGUCGUAUUGGAACAAGCCAAGCUUAUACAUUUGCAUAUUGUUUAGAGCUGCUCUUGUACUGCACUGGCAGAGUCAAACCAUUGUGACUCACCAUAUAGCCCAUGAAGCCUAAAAUAUUUACUCUCUGGCCUUGUGUAGAAAAAAGUUUGAUAGUCCCCCAUCUAUAAUAUUGUCUAUAUCACAAGAGAUGCUCAACAAAUAUUUCCUGAAUGAGUGCACUCUUUUCUCUGUUGGUGUCCCAAAGAUGCAAUGACCUGAGUUUAGAAUAUAGCGGGACAGGGCACAUGGGCAUGGAAUUCAGGGCUGGACAGAUCUGGCCUUGAGUCCUGGUUCCACCAUCUACAAGUGGUGUGACCUUAGGCAAAUUAUUUGGCUUCUCUGCUUUUCCUAUGCUUCAUUUGGAAAACAGCAAUAAGUCUAGCCAUUUAUGAUGAUUUCACAUGCCGCACGGGAAGCACAGAGCCUGGCUCAUGUAGCUACAGAAUACGUGUUACUGAGUUAUUCAGAACAUCCAGAAGCCUUCAGUGAGAGAGGUUCAGCUGGGACCAUUUGGACGCUGUGGACCAGGGAGUUGGCAGCCAGAAUAUUCUUCCACCCCUCGGGAGCUCCUUGCAGGGGGAGCAAGAAGGGCACGUUCAGAGAUGAUUGUUAGCUCAACAUUUAAACUUGUAGAAAGCUCCUAGUCAGCCAAGGGACAUGUGAUGAUAUUUAAGAUAGUGUCUAAAUAGGCAAGAUUUAAUUGACUAUAGACUUUCAGGUGUUUUUCCAGUGGUGAAAAUAAUGAUCCAUCCAUAUUUUCUCACACAUUCCUCCGACGACCAACUGCAUACAACUGGCUUGAGUCAGGGCUAAGCAGCCUGAGGCGACAGGAACCCAGGGAGCUCCCUGGUUCAUGGAGGGACUGACCUUGGCCCCGUUCACCAGCUGGUGGUCAAGUUCCCAAAGACGGAAGUGUUUUCUCAUCGACUGCAAGUGUGGCCCCUUUGAGCUGUAGGUGGUGUUAUUAUUUUUUUUUCUGGCAGGAUCUCUUCCUGUGUCCUAGAUGUUCUGGCUCGCCCUUCAAUUCCCCAGGUGAAGCCAGAAACAAAAUAAAUUAUGGGCAGGUGCAAAGCCACACUAGCAAGAGGCUGAGUCAGAAUCAUGUUGUAAAGCAGGACUGAAAAUGCCCACGUGGAGAGCGUCCCUGAUUCCAAGAGGUUGUAAAUGGCCCCACACACCUGCUGGCAACACCUUGGUACAUCUUUUUCUUCACUCGUGUUGGGAGAAACAUGGCAAUUGCCAACACUCGUUGGGACUCUGCUGGCAAGUGCAUUGUCAUACUUGAGAACGGCGACUGGAGACUCGCCUUCGCCCUCAUUCAUAUGCAUUACACACCAAUACUUAACCCUCAAGUCACAGCUCUCAUUAAGAACUGCUCAGCUCCACCACACAGAAUUCAAUUAUAGGUGCCUCUAGGGUCUGAGACUCUGCGGUUCCAACGAAUCAAGGCUUGAUCCAAAGGAAAAUGAAGAAAUACAGUCCAGGCUUUCCUUUCUUCAUGUUUUUAUCUUCUUAGACCUCAGGAUCCAGGACCCUGUCAUCCACUCUCCUGGGGAUCAACUGCCACCUCUCUGCAGAGAGAGAGAGAUGCUCAGAGUUUUCUGUCUCUGAGUUUCUCUCCCAGGCUCCACCCCUCUGACCUUCAACCAUAAAUAUCAACUAUCAGCGGGUAACUGGACUGCCAUCUGCCACCAAGCACAUUCCCAAACAGCCACAAAUAUUCUGUGUCCCCCUGGAAACACAAACAUGUUUCUAUAUCCUCCCAGAAAGCACAACACAUACCCCCAAACGCUCCCAUAAACAUCCAUAGCCCAAUUCCACGUCACGUGGGGAAGAAUUUAAAAGACUAGCAGAGCUUGGUGGAUAAUGGGAGUAUUAGGAGCUGUGUGUUUUUUUCAGGGCAGGGCAGGGUUCUGGAGUAGCUCCCACGUUCCACACUCAGCCAUGAACUCAUUAUCUACCUCGUCUUCCUCCUGAGCUUCUCUGUCCACACUCUGUCUUCUCAAGCAAUCAAACACUGAGAUAUCUUAUGCUCACUAUUACAGCGGCCUGGCCCCCAUCAGGUAACCCCCAGAUUCCCUCUUAAUUGAACAAUAAACAAGUCUUGGGAGUGUCUACUGUGGGUCAGUGGGUUAAGGGUUUGCUGUUGCCAUGAGCCAUGGUGUAGGUCACAGAUGUGGCUUGGAUCUAGCAGGGCUGUGGCUAUGGUGCAGGCCAGCAGCUGCAGCUCCAGGGGGACCCCUCGCCUGGGAACUUCCAUAUGCUGCACAUGUGGCCCUAAAAUCCAAAAAAACAAAUAAACAAACAAAGUCUUUGCUUCCAUGCAAUGCAAAAACGAAGUAGGUGAUGCUUGUCCAGGAGAAGAGAAACAAGAAAGAGGGCAGGUGAGGCCUGGCUCCUUCCUUCUGGGUCUGCUCGCUGAACUGUCUCAAAAUAGACCAGGCCACAGGCAGGGCAGCCUUCAACAGGGAGGUGACUCCCCCUUGGGAAGUGGGAGGCCCCUCUAUAAGCCUAGAGGGCUGAGUUCAUGAUAGCGUGUGUGGAACUACAAGCUGUCACCCAGGCCUCCUGCAGGAUUUUGGGCAAAAGCCUCAAGAGGCAGCAGAGCCUUUCUAGAUGUGACCCUGUACCUGCGACUUCAGUGCCAGUCUCUUCAGCUUAUAGAGCUCAGGUUCUCCCACAGCCAUGAGUGGAGGGUUUGCUCUGCAUAGCUGGCCUCAUGCCCCACCCUGUGGGUGCCUCAGUCCAGGCACCGGCCUCGUCUUCAGUGCAGUGGAGUCUCCCUCUCUGGAACACACAUGCCCCUCCCCGCCCUUUCUCGACGUCUUCGCCUAAAGCCAACCUGUGGGAACUGCACCCCAGCCUCUCUGCGGGCACCCGGGUUACAUCCCGGAGCCCUUCUGCUUUCAUGCUCCCAUCUUCCCUCCUUGACCUGGUCCUUUCUGUUCAGUGCUCAUCGCCGACUCUUUUUUUUUUUCUCUUUUUAGGGCCACAUCCAUGGCAUAUGGAGGUUCCCAGGUCAGGGGCUGAAUCAGAGCCAUAGCUGCAGGCCUAUGCCACCGCCACAGCCAUGCUAGAUCUGAGCCACAUCUGCAACCUACACCACAGCUCACAGCAACGCCAGAUCCUUAACCCACUGAUCGAGGCCGGGGAUGGAACCUAUGUUCCCGCUGAGCCAUAAUGGGAACCCCCUCACGUCCAACUCUUCUCCCAGGUCACUGACCAAUUCUCUGCUCCCUCAGCCAAGUAUCUUCCGCCCGUUCUUGUCACCUCCAAAGACACAUCCUCUUCCUUUAGGCUUUCCUGGGCAGGUGAGAGGGGAGGUGGUGUUUUCCUUGCUCCACGCUGGCUAACUUUCAGACUCUACUCCCAGGGCACCGUUAUCCAAGGGAAAAAGCCAAGCCAAUUUUUUCU
Molecule: long non-coding RNA, 6300 nt
Filed under: Sus scrofa (pig)
Lineage: Eukaryota; Metazoa; Chordata; Mammalia; Artiodactyla; Suidae
Description: lncRNA (ENSSSCG00000052710.1, ENSSSCG00090015589.1)
Source: RNAcentral